Echinops telfairi (small Madagascar hedgehog) is the source of this 381-nucleotide non-coding RNA. The record is from the annotation of a RefSeq genome assembly. Lineage: Eukaryota; Metazoa; Chordata; Mammalia; Afrosoricida; Tenrecidae.
AUGAGCUCUUCUCCAGGAUCAGUGAUUGUACUCUUCUUCUUACUUGGAGGAAGCAAUGGAAACACAGUGACCCAGACAGAAGGCCAAGUGACCCUCUCUGAAGGGAUCUAUCUGAUGCUGAACUGCUCCUAUACUUCUACUGGGUACCCGAGUCUUUUCUGGUACGUUCAAUAUCCCAAUGAAGGUCUCCAGCUUCUUCUGAAAGCCACCAAGGCUGAUGAGAAGGGACGUAACAAAGGCUUUGAAGCCACAUACAAGAAAGAAACAUCUUCCUUCCACCUGGAGAAAGCCGCAGUGCAAGAGUCAGACUCGGCUGUGUACUACUGUGUGCUGAGUGACACAGUGACAGGAGCUGCAGGGGGAGCCGAGCACAAACUCUGA